This 64-nucleotide transfer RNA is filed under the name Scolytinae sp. BMNH 1040075. RNAcentral describes it as "tRNA-Asn". Lineage: Eukaryota; Metazoa; Arthropoda; Insecta; Coleoptera; Curculionidae. The record is from RNAcentral.
UUAAUUGAAACCAAAAUAGAGGUAUAUCACUGUUAAUGAUAAUAAUGGAAAAAUCCCAAUUAAA